GAACUCUUACUUUUUGAAUAGAUUCUACGUCAACUGCAAAAACACAAUUCACACACUUUAAGAGGUCUUCAGGGUUGUAACGGGGCUUAGGUACGGUGGGAGAGUAGACAACAAAAUGGAUUAAAAAAGGUUUUACAGCUCGGCAUUCAUGUUGUUGUUUUUCUUUGUGCAAGAAUUUUAUUUUUAGGGUGUCGUACAAUCUUGACUCUUUUUCCACUCAAAUUCAUAUUAAUGCAUGAGUAUAUUUCUAAGGCAAGUGCUUAUUCUUUUUCAUUGCUCUAUAUAGAUACCUCUUUUUUUCUUUUUCUCUUUUUUUUUUUCCGGUAGAAGCGGAUGUUUCUACACACUUUUUCUUUUUCUCAUCUUUCUUUUCCUUACACUUGCCAUUUUUCAACAACAUUUUUAUUCUACGGAUGAAUACCCCAAAUUUAUCUUUUUGCACAAGUUUUACAUUACACAGUCAUGCCGGGCUAGGGUAGGGCGUGUAUGGCUAAGGGUUAACAUGAUGGUUUACAC
RNAcentral lists this long non-coding RNA (516 nucleotides) under Lathyrus oleraceus (garden pea). RNAcentral's name for it is "Pisum sativum (pea) long non-coding RNA (PSAT_LNC025953)". Lineage: Eukaryota; Viridiplantae; Streptophyta; Magnoliopsida; Fabales; Fabaceae. The record is from RNAcentral.